This 228-nucleotide long non-coding RNA is filed under the name Carica papaya (papaya). RNAcentral's name for it is "long non-coding RNA (CPAP_LNC012098)". Lineage: Eukaryota; Viridiplantae; Streptophyta; Magnoliopsida; Brassicales; Caricaceae. The record is from RNAcentral.
CUUUGGAUAUCUAUCUGAAUUGGGAGAACAUAGAGAUGAUGUUGAACCAGGGUGCUCCCCCCGAUGAUCUGAACCAAUUUGAAUCUGGUGGGAACAUCUGAAUCAAAGAGGAAAUUUUCUGAGUCCGUAAGUAUGAGCUGUGUAAAAGUUUAAAAAGCUUUAAGGUUGCUCUAGUUAUUUAAUUAAUAGUGUUGGCUGUAUAUCCUGGAUUUCAUUGGUUGAGGAGUU